This 72-nucleotide transfer RNA is filed under the name Salmo salar (Atlantic salmon). It matches the Rfam family "tRNA". From Rfam's summary of the family: Transfer RNA (tRNA) molecules are approximately 80 nucleotides in length. Their secondary structure includes four short double-helical elements and three loops (D, anti-codon, and T loops). Further hydrogen bonds mediate the characteristic L-shaped molecular structure. tRNAs have two regions of fundamental functional importance: the anti-codon, which is responsible for specific mRNA codon recognition, and the 3' end, to which the tRNAs corresponding amino acid is attached (by aminoacyl-tRNA synthetases). tRNAs cope with the degeneracy of the genetic code in two manners: having more than one tRNA (with a specific anti-codon) for a particular amino acid; and 'wobble' base-pairing, i.e. permitting non-standard base-pairing at the 3rd anti-codon position. Lineage: Eukaryota; Metazoa; Chordata; Actinopteri; Salmoniformes; Salmonidae. The record is from Rfam by way of RNAcentral.
UCCCUUGGGGCUCAGUUGGUAAAGCACGGCGCUUCCAACACCAGGAUUGUGGGUUCGAUUCCCACAGGGGAC